RNAcentral lists this long non-coding RNA (5939 nucleotides) under Gossypium barbadense (sea-island cotton). RNAcentral's name for it is "long non-coding RNA (GBAR_LNC023137)". The record is from RNAcentral. Lineage: Eukaryota; Viridiplantae; Streptophyta; Magnoliopsida; Malvales; Malvaceae.
UUUGCUUUUAUUUCUCCACGAAGCCUCCUCAAUAAGGGUUCCUCGACCAUCUUCCUUCCGGAGUAGAUCAAUUGUGAUCCGAAACUACUCUCAUCAGGUGCGAUUCUUCUCCCUUUUCUAAAGCUUCUUGUGCAAGUUUAUAGGCACAAACAUUUUCUAAUCUAUGAAUAAAUUGAAAAAUAAUUUCUUGAAAACGAGAUUUUUUUCUUUGAAAAUCCCUAAUAAUCACCCUAAUAACCGAUUUAUCUGGCUUUGCUGUUUGGCAUUUCUUGAUGACUGUUCAUGAAUCCCCCAUGAUUGUUACUGAGAGGAUACCCAUUGAGAUUCCUAACUUAAUGGCCUGUAAACCUGCAUAUGCCUCUGCCGCAAACGGAUAGGAAAUGUCGUUAUGUAGGGUUGUCUUCGAUGCUAGAAUCUCGCCCAUCAGACCUCGAACCACAGACCCGAAGCCGAUUUGGAAUUUUUUUGUCAAAAGCUGCAUCAAACUGAAUCGUCACCCUCGUGCUCCCUUCUCGUUUUCUGUGGCUUCUAUCCUCAUUUGAGGUAGUCUUCCUUUCUCCCAAACCAUAUAAUUCUGCCAUAUACAUAUGUAUUCUCUGUGAUAAUUCCCUUCCCAUCGUGUUCUUUCCCUCAUGUACUAGCUGAUUCCUUGAACUCCAGAUUGACCAUAAAGCACAGCAAAAAAGUCGGCACUGUUUACAAGAACCCCUCUUGAAAACCUAGAUAAGCCACUCCCAAAAGUUUUGAUUCGUAUUAUUUAUGACCCAAUAGAGGUUUAAAUAAAUAAAUGGGGUAAGCUAUAUAGCUUAGUAAGUUGGUAUGUAAAUAAUAAAUAAUUUGUUAACAUGCUUUUACCAAUCUUCACAAUAUGUUCUCAAUAUAAUACAAUUAUAAUUGCACAUAGUUCCAAUAUUUAUUCAUGUUCACGUCAAGUUGUCUACUCGAGUCAUAGUCACUGAAUUAUUUAUGUCUUGUGCUACGAAACUCAAAAUUAAGAUCCGCUUAUUUUUCUAAAACUAGACUCACAUAUCUUGUUAUCAUAAAAUUUUAAAAAAUUUUGGUUUUGCCAAUAAGUACAGUUAAUUCUUCAAAGUCGUCUUUGUUCUGCUGUUUGACAGUUCUGGCCUUUCUUCUCUAAAAAUUAAUUAUCUCUUAGUACGGAAUUCAGAUGAUGUUUCCGUUUAUUUAUCUUGAAAAUAGACUCAUUAAUAAUUCUAAUCAUAUAAAUUCUAACCCAUAAUUAUUUUUAUACAAAUUUUAAUGAUUUUCCAAAGUCAGAAUAGGAGAUUCCGAAAUUAUUCUAACCUUAUCUCACAAAAAUUUAAAUAUCUCAUAAUAUGAGAUUCUUUUGCUUACAUCGUUUCUUCUACGUGAAAUUAGACUCAAUAAGCUUUAAUUUAAUGUAUUAUUCAACCUCUAAUGUGAUUUCCACAAUUUUUUGAGUUUUCAAAGUUAUACAAUUGUUGUUGUUCAAAACUAUUUUAUUGCAAUUUUUAAUCUUUCAUGAUUUCUUUGUAUUAACAUUUAUUUCGACACACAUAACACCAAAGCAUAUCCAUAACUAGCCAUUCCAAUAGCUAAUCAUUAUCAUAUAUUCACAUGCCAUUCAUUGGCCAAUUUCACCUAUACAUCAACAACAAAGACUUAAACAUAUCAUGUCUCAAUUUAAUUUGGCCUAAAAGCCUCACACAUUCAUCAAUCAAAUUUACCACAUAUUUAUACCUCAUAAGUAUAGACCUAUAAUCACAAGGUCAUCACAAGAUCAUUCUCAUAAGUAUGACUUACUUAUUUACAUUCUUGCCAAAAUGUCCAAUAUACAUCGAGUUCAUUACUCAUGAAUUUUUCGUACAUACUUGUAUCCUUUCAACAUGAUCAUACAUUGUCUUUUCUUUGACAUAAUCUUUAAAUUACCCGUUGGACCACUUGGAACACUAAGUAUACUUGGGAAAGCUCAUACAUAAUGUAUCGUACCAAUGUCAUGUCCCAGACAUGGUCUUACAUAAAAAUCUCGUAUCGAUGCCAAUAGCCCAGCUAUGGUCUUACACGAAAUCUCAAAUUGAUGCCAAUAGCCUAGCUAUGGUCUUACACAGAAUCUCAAAUCGAUGCCAAUAGCCUAGCUAUGGUCUUACACGAAAUCACACCUCGGAAGUUCUAAUAUCAUGACAUCAAUAUCCAAUACAUUUACUAAGGUUCAUUCGGAGCUUUCGACUUCGUAAUUAAAUCAAUUCAUGUACGAAACAAGUCAUCCAAUGCUCAAAUCAAUUCGACAAUAUAUAUCCAUAUACGAAUCAAAUUCGGCAAUGUAUAUCUACAUACAAAUUAAUUUGGCAAUGUAUAUCCAUAUACAAAUCAAAUUCGGCAAUGUAUAACCAUAUACAAAUCAAAUUCGGCAAUGUAUAUCUAUAAACAAUUCAAAUUCGGCAAUGUAUAUCUAUAUGCAAAUCAAAUUCGACAAUGUAUAUCUAUAAAAAAUUCAAAUUUGCCAAUGUAUAUCUAUAUACAAAUCAAAUUCGGCAAUGUAUAAAACAUAUAUAUUUAAAUUCAAAAUUAUUUAUUUACUUAUGAACUUACCUCAUAUGGAAACGAAUCGAUCGGAUCAACUACUCGUCAACUUUCGAUUUCUCUUGAUCUAAAUCUAAUUUUUUUUCUUUCUUGAUCUAUAUGAAUUCAAAUUUAACUCAUUUAAUCACAUAUUCAUUCAAUUUCAUCUAAAAAUACCUAUUUGGACAUUUUAGCACUUUAGCCCUUAAAGUUUCACAUUUAUUAAAUUUAAUUCCUAUUUCACAAAUACACAAAAUUCACACAAUUUAAUAUAACCUAAGCUUAGCCGAAUUACUAUAGUGCCCCUAGCAGCCCAAAAAUUUCAUUAUUUCACAUUUUAACCACUCAAUUUGCAUAUUUCAUAAUUUAAUCCCUAUUUGACAUUUUUGUCAAAAAUCACUUUACAAAACAUAUUAAUCUAUCAACAAUUAUUCAUUUUUCAUCAUCAACAUUUAAAAACAUCAAGCUAUCAUCAAUGGAAACUCACAAAUUCAUCAACCAAUUCAAAAAUUAGGGCAUGGGCUAGCUAGAGCACAAAGCAACGAUCUCAAAAACAUAGAAAUAUUUAAAAAUGGGACAAAAUAUCUUACCAAUCAAGCAAAAUAAGCAUGACCGAACCCUAGCUAUGGUUUUUCCAUGUUAGAAUCGAUUGAAGUGUUUUUGUGAAGAAGAUGGACAUAUAAUUCUUAAGUUAUUUUAUCAUUAUUAAUUAUUUUACCUUUAUAACCUUAUAAAAUAUUACUAAUUUCAAAAAUGUCAAUCCAACACAUUCCACUAUCACCAUUUAUGGUCUAAUUACCAUAUAAGAACUUAAACUUUAAUGUUGUAUAGCUAUUAGACACUUUUAGCUUAUAGAACACAACUUUUAUGCUUUACGCGAUUUAGUCUUUUUUAUCGAAUUAAGCAUUCAAACAAUAAAAUUUAUUUACGUAACUUUCACACAUAUAUAAUCACAUGCUGUAAAUACCAAAAAUAAUAUUAAAAUAAUUUUUCUCAUCGAGUUUGUGGUCUCGAAACCACUGUUCCGACUAGACCCAAAAUCGGGCUAUUACAAGUCUUUCAUAACCCAUCAAGCUUCGAACUUGCUAUAUCUUACAAUUCAACCAUUUGUCUUACCUUUUCGUAUUAAUUAGAAUAGGAUAAUGAUCGGAUAAAAAAUGCACAAGAUGUUGAAUUGUUACCUCACGAAACAUGGUCAUCCAUUCCUCGUUUGCCACUCCUCUAUCCAAUCGUUCUUGGAUGUUUGUUUUCGGCAAAUUGUCUCUCUCCCAUGUGAACCAAUUACUAAAAUACCCCACAUCCAUCAGGUGACAAUCUUCCAACACAUUUCGAAAAGUUUUCAUUCUUCUUUAAUCUCUAAGCAGCCCUCUCUUUUUCUCAAAGCCAUAUAUAAUUUCAUUAAAAUCUCCGCAUACAAACCAAGGAUACCCUCAUCGUUAUAUAGAUUAGUCAAAAGAGCCCAUGAGUCAUCUCUACCCUAUGCAUAAGGGGUUCCAUAAAAACCUGUGUAUCUUCAUUUAUUCCCUACUUCAGUAUAUUCAAUUAUCACAUCAAUAUGCCUUUUAGAAAAAUUCUAAAGCGUGAUAUUGACAUCAUUUCUCCAUGCCAAACACAACCCUCCUCUAGAACCAUCCGAAUCAACAUCAAUACCAUUAGCAUAACCAUAACUUCGUCGAACUCUUUCCAUCUGACUUCUACAAAACUUUGUCUCUAUAAAGAGGACCAUCUGGGGAUUAUAUAUCUUCAGCGAAUGCCGAAGUCUUCGAACUGUUCGUGGGCUCCCCAAUCCACAAACAUUCCAACUUAAAAUUUUUAUUACGUCCGGUUGGCUUGCCUCUUAGCAGUCGUUGAUGAUAAAUGGUUAAUUUCCAACAUUCUCCUAUUCCUUACUGCCAAAGUGUUGAUCUCUUCUCUGGCUGUUAAGUCUUCAAUCUCCUCCUAGCUCUAUUUUUCCCCUUCUUUCGAUUAAUACACCAUCUUCUAGAUCAUGAUCCAUUACAAUUUGAGCCAAACCUACCAAUGGAUUUUCCCCCCAUUGACAUGAAGAAGACAAACUCCCUUCCAAAUUAAAUCCCAAUACUAGAUCAAUAGCCUUCCUACACCCCGAUUUUUUUUUACGUUCUACAAAUUGUUUCCUUGUACUCGGCUACCCUCACGGUUUCCACCCAAUUCUCCCUCACUUUCCUCACGUAACCAGACACUGUUCAUUACUUGGGCUCUUUGAGAUUGUGCUCGCAACGAUAAAUCCCAACCUAUUUCAUCAAUUUCCACUCUUAACGCCAUUUUUGCUUCACAAAAAAAAUAACUAUGGCCCAAUCGACCACAGUAGAAAUAGAAGAAUGAUAGUCUUUCAUACUUAAAUCUGACAUAUGAUCAUUUUCCACAAAACAUAAUUUGCUUCUUCAUCUUCAAUGGAUGUCGUAUAUCAAUUUGGACUCUUAUUCUCAUAAAGUUUCGAUUUUCUUUCCCCAGAUUCGAACUGUCAUACUCCAUAAAUUCCCCUAUGAAAUUACCCAAUUGCAUUGCCAAGUUUUCAAAGAAAAAACCGAUAGGAACAUCAUGAAUCUGUACCAAAAAAUGUGUCAAAAUUAAAGAACUUUUAAUGGAUCCUUCCCCAUUGCAGCUUGUAUAACACCAACAAGUGGUUGUUAAAAGUCCAUGGUGACCCCUUCAAAACCCUUUCCAUAUCCCAUAACAUGAAAAAAUUGAAACAAAAACCUUUUCUCCCCCAUAUCCCGGAUUUGAACACCCCGAACAGGAUGCCAUAAAUUCACUAUAGUACUUUUCAUUGCUAGGAAGUGAAUAAUGCUAGUUGUUAGGAAACACCCCACUAGCCGAAAAGCCCCCGUCUCCCUUUUCGUAUUCGGCUCUAAUUGUACUUGUAAAACUGCUUAUUCUUCUUCAUUAAGCGUUAAUCCAGCAAAUUCAGUUUCCAUGAAUGCAGGCAGAAAUCCCAAACGUGGGUAUCAGUUUUCUAAAAGAAAAAAGAAGACUUAAGAGACGAUCGCCAUCGAACAAAACAGAAGACUAAAACAAAAAACCUAAAAACAUGCUAGAGAGAGCAGACAGUUGCAUGCUAGGGUAGCAGACUUUUUUUUUUUAUAUAAAAACAAUUAUUUAAGUCCAUGUGUUUAUCAAUAACUUAUCUAAUUUUCUAAUUUUCAUAAAGUAAGAUAAUCAUAUUUUAAAAAAAUAAAGUUAAAAUACUAAUGUUUCAAUUUUUAUAAAGUGGAAAAACAAAAUUAAGAUUUUACGAAUUCUCUUCAUUUGUCAUUAGAUACACUCAAAAACUCAUAGGUAACUUUUUAUUGUUUAAAUGUUAAAUAAAAUAACAAAAAUUACUAGAACACUAAUAAAAAUUCUAUAUAUUAAAAGGGAAAGUUAAGACUUAAGAGCAA